RNAcentral lists this ribosomal RNA (759 nucleotides) under uncultured bacterium. RNAcentral's name for it is "bacterial SSU rRNA". It matches the Rfam family "Bacterial small subunit ribosomal RNA", at positions 9 to 760 of the family's 1533-position model. The record is from RNAcentral.
GAGUUUGAUCAUGGCUCAGGAUGAACGCUAGCGACAGGCCUAACACAUGCAAGUCGAGGGGCAGCACAAGGUAGCAAUACUGAGGUGGCGACCGGCGCACGGGUGAGUAACGCGUAUGCAACCUGCCUGUAACAGGGGAAUAGCCUCUUGAAAGAGAGAUUAAUGCCGCAUAAUACGAGAUUCGGGCAUCCGGAUUUAGUUAAACAUCUAUGGGUUACAGAUGGGCAUGCGUUUCAUUAGGUAGUUGGUGAGGUAACGGCUCACCAAGCCGACGAUGAAUAGGGGUUCUGAGAGGAAGGUCCCCCACACUGGUACUGAGACACGGACCAGACUCCUACGGGAGGCAGCAGUGAGGAAUAUUGGUCAAUGGACGCAAGUCUGAACCAGCCAAGUCGCGUGAAGGAUGAAGGUAUUAUGUAUUGUAAACUUCUUUUGUCAGGGAAUAAUGGGUGUCACGUGUGACGCAGAGGAAUGUACCUGACGAAUAAGCAUCGGCUAACUCCGUGCCAGCAGCCGCGGUAAUACGGAGGAUGCGAGCGUUAUCCGGAUUUAUUGGGUUUAAAGGGUGCGUAGGCGGUUUGUUAAGUCAGUGGUGAAAGUUUGCGGCUCAACCGUAAAAUCGCCAUUGAAACUGGCGAACUUGAGUACAGUAGAGGUAGGCGGAAUUCGUGGUGUAGCGGUGAAAUGCUUAGAUAUCACGAAGAACUCCGAUUGCGAAGGCAGCUUGCUGGACUGUAACUGACGCUGAGGCACGAAAGC